Molecule: ribosomal RNA, 540 nt
Filed under: Variovorax sp. enrichment culture
Lineage: Bacteria; Pseudomonadati; Pseudomonadota; Betaproteobacteria; Burkholderiales; Comamonadaceae
Description: bacterial SSU rRNA
Rfam family: Bacterial small subunit ribosomal RNA
Source: RNAcentral
GGCGCAAGCCUGAUCCAGCCAUUCCGCGUGAGUGAUGAAGGCCUUCGGGUUGUAAACUUCUUUUGUGCGGAACGAAAAGGCUCGCUCUAAUACAGGAGGCUCAUGACGGUACCGUAAGAAUAACCACCGGCUAACUACGUGCCAUCAGCCGCGGUAAUACUUAGGGUGCGAGCGUUAAUCGAAAUUACUGGGCGUAAAGCGUGCGCAGGCGGUGGUGUAAGACAGGUGUGAAAUCCCCGGGCUCAACCUGGGAACUGCAUUUGUGACUGCAGGGCUGGAGUGUGGCAGAGGGGGAUGGAAUUCCACGUGUAGCAAUGAAAUGCGUAAAUAUGCGGAGGAACACCGAUGGCGAAGGCAAUCCCCUGGGCCUGGACUGACGCUCAUGCACGAAAGCGUGGGGAGCAAACAGGAUUAGAUACCCUGGUAGUCCACGCCCUAAGCGAUGUCAACUGGUUGUUGCUCGAUCAGUAGAUCGUCUCCGCAGGUCACGCGUGAAGUUGACCGCCUGUGGAGUGCAGUCACGAGGUUGAAACUCAAUGA